RNAcentral lists this ribosomal RNA (616 nucleotides) under Steinernema feltiae. RNAcentral describes it as "eukaryotic LSU rRNA". It matches the Rfam family "Eukaryotic large subunit ribosomal RNA", at positions 344 to 964 of the family's 3401-position model. The record is from RNAcentral. Lineage: Eukaryota; Metazoa; Nematoda; Chromadorea; Rhabditida; Steinernematidae.
ACAAGUACCGUGAGGGAAAGUUGCAAAGUACUUUGAAGAGAGAGUUCAAGAGGACGUGAAACCGAUAGGAUGGAAGCAGAUGAAGUUGACGAACGUGUGUCGUAUUCAAAAUCGCUGUCAGCGGUUUGUUUUUACGGCCGAUGUGGGCCGGCGGCUUUGGUCAAUGCAACGCGUCUAGCGUCGAUGGUGACCCUGCGGAGGGACAAUUAGUCGCCGUACGGUGCUUGGUAUGGCUAAGGUUUCGCCGGUCUUAAAGUCAGCGCCUCAUCUGACCCGUCUUGAAACACGGACCAAGGAGUGUAGCGUUUGCGCAAGUCUUAGAGUGUAUCGAAACUCUGAGGCGUAACGAAAGUAAAUGCAGUUUAAUCUGCUGACUUGGGAUGCGUUGUCUCUUGUGGACGGCGCUGGACCAAGGUUUUAUCGCGAUCGCUUGCGGUGCGGUGAAAAUAGAGCGUAAACGGUGCGACCCGAAAGAUGGUGAACUAUGCCUGAGCAGGAUGAAGCCGGAGGAAACUCUGGUGGAAGUCCGAAGCGGUUCUGACGUGCAAAUCGAUCGUCUGACUUGGGUAUAGGGGCGAAAGACUAAUCGAACCAUCUAGUAGCUGGUUCCUUCCGA